This 464-nucleotide ribosomal RNA is filed under the name Vreelandella stevensii. RNAcentral's name for it is "partial 16S ribosomal RNA". It matches the Rfam family "Bacterial small subunit ribosomal RNA", at positions 338 to 795 of the family's 1533-position model. The record is from RNAcentral. Lineage: Bacteria; Pseudomonadati; Pseudomonadota; Gammaproteobacteria; Oceanospirillales; Halomonadaceae.
CCUACGGGAGGCUGCAGUGGGGAAUAUUGGACAAUGGGGGGAACCCUGAUCCAGCCAUGCCGCGUGUGUGAAGAAGGCCCUCGGGUUGUAAAGCACUUUCAGUGAGGAAGAACGCCUGGUGGUUAAUACCCAUCAGGAAGACAUCACUCACAGAAGAAGCACCGGCUAACUCCGUGCCAGCAGCCGCGGUAAUACGGAGGGUGCGAGCGUUAAUCGGAAUUACUGGGCGUAAAGCGCGCGUAGGUGGCUUGAUAAGCCGGUUGUGAAAGCCCCGGGCUCAACCUGGGAACGGCAUCCGGAACUGUCAAGCUAGAGUGCAGGAGAGGAAGGUAGAAUUCCCGGUGUAGCGGUGAAAUGCGUAGAGAUCGGGAGGAAUACCAGUGGCGAAGGCGGCCUUCUGGACUGACACUGACACUGAGGUGCGAAAGCGUGGGUAGCAAACAGGAUUAGAUACCCCGGUAGUC